CAGCCGCCGCGGUAACACGGAGGGUGCAAGCGUUAAUCGGAAUUACUGGGCGUAAAGCGUGCGUAGGCGGUUUGUUAAGUCUGUUGUGAAAUCCCCGGGCUCAACCUGGGAAUGGCAAUGGAUACUGGCAAGCUAGAGUGUGUCAGAGGAUGGUGGAAUUCCCGGUGUAGCGGUGAAAUGCGUAGAGAUCGGGAGGAACAUCAGUGGCGAAGGCGGCCAUCUGGGACAACACUGACGCUGAGGCACGAAAGCGUGGGGAGCAAACAGGAUUAGAUACCCGCGUAGUCCCUGUCUCUUAUAC
RNAcentral lists this ribosomal RNA (301 nucleotides) under uncultured bacterium. RNAcentral describes it as "partial 16S ribosomal RNA". It matches the Rfam family "Bacterial small subunit ribosomal RNA", at positions 509 to 807 of the family's 1533-position model. The record is from RNAcentral.